This 71-nucleotide transfer RNA is filed under the name Procypris mera (Chinese-ink carp). Its description in RNAcentral is "tRNA-Ser". Lineage: Eukaryota; Metazoa; Chordata; Actinopteri; Cypriniformes; Cyprinidae. The record is from RNAcentral.
CAAGGAAGAACAGAAAAUAGUAAGCACUGCUAAUCCUUACGUUCCAUGGUUAAAAUCCGUGGCUUCCUUGC